ACUACGGGAGGCAGCAGUGGGGGAUAUUGCACAAUGGGGGGAACCCUGAUGCAGCGACGCCGCGUGGGUGAAGAAGCGCCUCGGCGCGUAAAGCCCUGUCAGCAGGGAAGAAAAUGACGGUGCCUGAAGAAGAAGCCCCGGCUAACUACGUGCCAGCAGCCGCGGUAAUACGUAGGGGGCAAGCGUUAUCCGGAUUUACUGGGUGUAAAGGGGGCGCAGACGGCGAGGCAAGCCAGGGGUGAAAGCCCGGGGCCCAACCCCGGGACUGCUCUUGAAACUGCGUGGCGGGAGUGCAGGAGGGGCAGGCGGAAUUCCUGGUGUAGCGGUGAAAUGCGUAGAUAUCAGGAGGAACACCGGUGGCGAAGGCGGCCUGCUGGACUGCAACUGACGUUGAGGCCCGAAAGCGUGGGGAGCAAACAGGAUUAGAUACCCCUGUAGUC
RNAcentral lists this ribosomal RNA (440 nucleotides) under uncultured bacterium. RNAcentral describes it as "partial 16S ribosomal RNA". It matches the Rfam family "Bacterial small subunit ribosomal RNA", at positions 338 to 795 of the family's 1533-position model. The record is from RNAcentral.